RNAcentral lists this long non-coding RNA (1263 nucleotides) under Urocitellus parryii (Arctic ground squirrel). RNAcentral's name for it is "lncRNA (ENSUPAG00010003467.1)". Lineage: Eukaryota; Metazoa; Chordata; Mammalia; Rodentia; Sciuridae. The record is from RNAcentral.
CUGCAGCCCUGAGAUGAGAGGUAGGAGGCCGAGGCUUCCUGCAGGUCAGCUUGCCCCCUCCUUGCUGCAGAUGCACAGCAGAUGGCCAGCGUCCCCAUCCAGCACAUCCACACCACAGAGCUUCUGGGGGAAGCCUCCGAGAGAGGAGGUGCUUCCUGACCCCAGAAUUCGUGGCAGUCAUAUGAAGGAGCCUUCCAGGACACAUCUAACAUCAGGGCCUUCCCAACAGUCCCCCUCGGCAGGGCCACGCCACAUCUUUCACAAUUGCUCAGAAAAAGACUCAUCAUUCUCCUUAAGUCGGGUUCUGCAAAGCAUCCCUGAAAGGAGGGUUCCCAUGAAACUGGCUGCCAAGGACAGGACUGUGUGCCCCCUAAAUUCAGGUGUCAAAGCUCAACCCCACAGUAAUGGCAUUUGGUGGUGGGGUGACUAGGUUUGGAUGAGGGCAAGAGGUGGCACUCGUGAUAAGACCCUAAUAAGACAGCAUGGAGCUUGAUCUCUCUCUCCUUGUCACACCAGCACACAACAGGAAGAUGGCCAUCUGCAGGCCAGGAAGAGAGCACUCACCAGACCAACCAUGCUGCCACCCCGAUCUCAGGCCUCCAGUCUGCAGAGUGUGAGGCAGCGAAUGGCUGCUGUGGAAGCUUCGGCACCUGUAGGUGUGGUUGUGGUGGCCUGAGCCAGCUGAGACAGGGACUGGGGAAGGGCAGAGCUGGGCAGUAGAACAGACCAGCUACCUGAGGCCCUGUCUCCACCGUCCUUCCUCCCACAGCACCAGGGGCCAUGUGGGCACUAUGGGACCCAGGGAAGCCUGUGAGGAAAAGGAGAAUUCUAGCAGCACCGAGGACCCUGUCAUGCCCCCCAGAAUCAGUGGUGGUCCUAACAACACRAGGACCCUUGACAUGGCCCCCAGAAACAGUGGUCCUAACGACACGARGACCCUUAUCAUGCCCUCUGCAGGAUCCAUGGUCCUGGCAGAGGUGGUGGAGGUGGAGCCGACUCAAGACAGCAGCUUCUCUGAGGAGAAGAUUCAGGUCAAGGGUGACGUGCAUGUGGUGGGAGGGGGAGGCCCUGCAAGUUCCAUCACUAGUCCUUCCACUGCCUGGCUGAAGACGCUUCCAGGGAAGGAGGAGCCGGAGCACACCCAGCCAGCCUCCUGAAGGGCCUUUCUACAAAUUUGAUUUGAUAAGUUCCAUUCCAUCUAUUCACAGUGUGUCAAAAUGCAUUCUCUGGUAUAAUUAAUUAUGACUUAUGCUGUAUAACUAC